UGGCGUUGGAGUGAACUCUAUAGGGAGUGAUAAGAGGAGAAAUUCAAGUAAGGAAAGGAUCAAGAGGUAUUUAGGGAGAAAAAUGAGGAGAUGAGGAGUAAGGAUGAGGUGGAGUCGAACUGGGAACUUGGGCUUGAGAAAUUUGGCUAUAGGGGCUAUAAAUAGGUGCUGAAUAGGAGGUGGCCAGGCUAAUACCGAAUUUCCUUCACCUUGCCAUCGAAACCCUUUUCC
Molecule: long non-coding RNA, 231 nt
Filed under: Gossypium barbadense (sea-island cotton)
Lineage: Eukaryota; Viridiplantae; Streptophyta; Magnoliopsida; Malvales; Malvaceae
Description: long non-coding RNA (GBAR_LNC006523)
Source: RNAcentral